RNAcentral lists this ribosomal RNA (444 nucleotides) under uncultured bacterium. RNAcentral's name for it is "bacterial SSU rRNA". It matches the Rfam family "Bacterial small subunit ribosomal RNA", at positions 331 to 792 of the family's 1533-position model. The record is from RNAcentral.
CCAGACUCCUACGGGAGGCAGUAGUGGGGAAUAUUGCACAAUGGGGGAAACCCUGAUGCAGCGACGCCGCGUGAGCGAUGAAGUAUUUCGGUAUGUAAAGCUCUAUCAGCAGGGAAGAAAAUGACGGUACCUGACUAAGAAGCCCCGGCUAACUACGUGCCAGCAGCCGCGGUAAUACGUAGGGGGCAAGCGUUAUCCGGAUUUACUGGGUGUAAAGGGAGCGUAGACGGCGGUGCAAGCCUGAUGUGAAAGCCCGGGGCUCAACCCCGGGACUGCAUUUGGAACUGUGCUGCUAGAGUGUCGGAGAGGCAGGCGGAAUUCCUAGUGUAGCGGUGAAAUGCGUAGAUAUUAGGAGGAACACCGGUGGCGAAGGCGGCUUGCUGGACUGUAACUGACGUUGAGGCUCGAAAGCGUGGGGAGCAAACAGGAUUAGAUACCCCCGUA